This 428-nucleotide ribosomal RNA is filed under the name uncultured archaeon. RNAcentral's name for it is "bacterial SSU rRNA". It matches the Rfam family "Archaeal small subunit ribosomal RNA", at positions 474 to 903 of the family's 1478-position model. The record is from RNAcentral.
UACCAGCUCCCCGAGUGGUGGGGACGAUUAUUGGGCUUAAAGCGUCCGUAGCCGGCUUGGCAAGUCUUUCGUUAAAUCCAGCGGCUUAACCGUUGGGCUGCGGGAGAUACUGUCAGGCUAGGGGGCGGAAGAGGCCGACGGUAUUCUCGGGGUAGGGGUGAAAUCCUAUAAUCCCGGGAAGACCACCAGUGGCGAAGGCGGUCGGCUAGUACGCGCUCGACGGUGAGGGACGAAAGCUGGGGGAGCGAACCGGAUUAGAUACCCGGGUAGUCCCAGCUGUAAACGAUGCGAGCUAGGUGUUGGGGCGGCUACGUGCCGCUUCGGUGCCGCAGGGAAGCCAUUAAGCUCGCCGCCUGGGAAGUACGGCCGCAAGGCUGAAACUUAAGGAAUUGGCGGGGGAGCACUACAAGGCGUGAAGCUUGCGGUUC